RNAcentral lists this ribosomal RNA (445 nucleotides) under uncultured bacterium. RNAcentral describes it as "partial 16S ribosomal RNA". It matches the Rfam family "Bacterial small subunit ribosomal RNA", at positions 354 to 796 of the family's 1533-position model. The record is from RNAcentral.
GUGAGGAAUAUUGGUCAAUGGGCGGGAGCCUGAACCAGCCAAGUCGCGUGAAGGAAGAAGGAUCUAUGGUUCGUAAACUUCUUUUGCAGGGGAAUAAAGUGCAGGACGUGUCCUGUUUUGUAUGUACCCUGAGAAUAAGGAUCGGCUAACUCCGUGCCAGCAGCCGCGGUAAUACGGAGGAUCCGAGCGUUAUCCGGAUUUAUUGGGCUUAAAGGGUGCGUAGGUGGUUUGAUAAGUCAGCGGUGAAAGUUGGAAGCUUAACUGUAAAAAUGCCGUUGAAACUGUCGGACUUGAGUGUAAAUGAGGUAGGCGGAAUGCGUGGUGUAGCGGUGAAAUGCAUAGAUAUCACGCAGAACUCCGAUUGCGAAGGCAGCUUACUAAGCUACAACUGACACUGAAGCACGAAAGCGUGGGGAUCAAACAGGAUUAGAAACCCUGGUAGUCC